RNAcentral lists this ribosomal RNA (253 nucleotides) under uncultured bacterium. Its description in RNAcentral is "partial 16S ribosomal RNA". It matches the Rfam family "Bacterial small subunit ribosomal RNA", at positions 524 to 776 of the family's 1533-position model. The record is from RNAcentral.
UACAGAGGGUGCGAGCGUUAAUCGGAUUUACUGGGCGUAAAGGGCGUGUAGGCGGGAAAUUAAGUCAGACGUGAAAUCCCCGGGCUUAACCUGGGGCUGACGUAUGAAACUGAUUAUCUAGAGUGGAGUAGAGGGUAGUAGAAUUUCCGGUGUAGCGGUGAAAUGCGUAGAUAUCGGAAGGAAUACCGGUGGCGAAGGCGGCUACCUGGACUCUAUCUGACGCUGAGGCGCGAAAGCGUGGGGAGCGAACAGG